RNAcentral lists this ribosomal RNA (253 nucleotides) under uncultured bacterium. RNAcentral's name for it is "partial 16S ribosomal RNA". It matches the Rfam family "Bacterial small subunit ribosomal RNA", at positions 524 to 776 of the family's 1533-position model. The record is from RNAcentral.
UACGUAGGGUCCAAGCGUUAAUCGGAAUUACUGGGCGUAAAGCGUGCGCAGGCGGUUGUGUAAGCCAGAUGUGAAAUCCCCGGGCUUAACCUGGGAAUGGCAUUUGGGACUGCACGGCUAGAGUACGGCAGAGGAGACUAGAAUUCCUGGUGUAGCAGUGAAAUGCGUAGAUAUCAGGAGGAACACCGGUGGCGAAGGCGGUUCUCUGGGCAUGAUCUGACGCUGAGGAGCGAAAGUGUGGGGAGCGAACAGG